This 459-nucleotide ribosomal RNA is filed under the name uncultured bacterium. Its description in RNAcentral is "partial 16S ribosomal RNA". It matches the Rfam family "Bacterial small subunit ribosomal RNA", at positions 338 to 795 of the family's 1533-position model. The record is from RNAcentral.
CCUACGGGAGGCAGCAGUGAGGAAUAUUGGUCAAUGGGCGGGAGCCUGAACCAGCCAAGUCGCGUGAGGGAAGAAGGUACUGAGUAUUGUAAACCUCUUUUGCCAGGGGACAAAGGCGGCCACGGGUGGCCGUAAGAGGGUACCUGGAGAAAAAGCAUCGGCUAACUCCGUGCCAGCAGCCGCGGUAAUACGGAGGAUGCGAGCGUUAUCCGGAUUUAUUGGGUUUAAGGGGUGCGUAGGCGGAUCGUUAAGUCGGUGGGAAAAUUUAGGGGCUCAACCCCUUACCGCCAUUGAAACUUGCGCUCUUGAGUGGAAGAGAAGUAUGCGGAAUGCGUGGUGUAGCGGUGAAAUGCAUAGAUAUCACGCAGAACCCCGAUUGCGAAGGCAGCAUGCCGGCUUCCGACUGACGCUGAAGCACGAAAGCGUGGGGAUCGAACAGGAUUAGAUACCCUGGUAGUC